UAUGUGAUCGUCUCUCGCAUAUCAAUAAGCGGAGGAAAAGAAACUAACAAGGAUUCCCCUAGUAACGGCGAGUGAGGCGGGAAGAGCUCAAAUCUGAAAUCUUAAAGGGUUUCCCUUUACGAAUUGUAGUUUAAAGAAGUGCUUUCUGUUGAGGUUUUGGUAAAAGUUCUUUGGAAUAGGACAUCAUAGAGGGUGAGAAUCCCGUAUUUGACCUUUACUUUCAACUUUGUGAUACACUUUCAAAGAGUCGGAUUGUUUGGGAAUGCAGUCCAAAAUGGGUGGUAAAUUUCAUCUAAAGCUAAAUAUUGGCGAGAGACCGAUAGCGAACAAGUACCGUGAGGGAAAGAUGAAAAGAACUUUGAAAAGAGAGUUAAACAGUACGUGAAAUUGUCAAAAGGGAAGCGUUUGACACCAGUGUUGUUUUUCUGAAAAUCAAUUAAAGAACUGUUUAUGCUAAGCUGUUUAGACUUUAUCAGCUAACUGUUUAGUUUUGAGCUUUUCUUUAAUGCACUUUUCAGUUAACAAGUCAACAUCAAUUUCUUUUGCUGUAAAAAAGCUUGAGGAAGGUGGCUUGAGAUUCGUCCUUAAGUGUUUAUAGCCUCUUGCCUAUGCAGUCGGAGAGAUUGAGGUCUGCAGCGUAGAUCCUUCGGGGCUAAAUGCAUUUGUGCUAAGUUAUAACAUUUUAUAGACAACUUGUUGACUAUGAUUUGUCUUGUAGCUUACUCGCUUAUGUUAUUUUACCUACGCUUAGGAUGUUGACGAUCAGCUGAGCGCG
Molecule: ribosomal RNA, 775 nt
Filed under: uncultured Neocallimastigales
Lineage: Eukaryota; Fungi; Neocallimastigomycota; Neocallimastigomycetes; Neocallimastigales
Description: partial large subunit ribosomal RNA
Rfam family: Eukaryotic large subunit ribosomal RNA
Source: RNAcentral